CCGGCACGGGUGGAGUAACGCGUAUGCAACUUGCCUAUCAGAGGGGGAUAACCCGGCGAAAGUCGGACUAAUACCGCAUGAAGCAGGGAUCCCGCAUGGGAAUAUUUGCUAAAGAUUCAUCGCUGAUAGAUAGGCAUGCGUUCCAUUAGGCAGUUGGCGGGGUAACGGCCCACCAAACCGACGAUGGAUAGGGGUUCUGAGAGGAAGGUCCCCCACAUUGGUACUGAGACACGGACCAA
This 239-nucleotide ribosomal RNA is filed under the name uncultured bacterium. RNAcentral's name for it is "partial 16S ribosomal RNA". It matches the Rfam family "Bacterial small subunit ribosomal RNA", at positions 100 to 334 of the family's 1533-position model. The record is from RNAcentral.